AGAUAAGCAGUCGACUAGAACCUCAAAAUUAAAUACGCCUUAUCGACUUCAGAUUCCAUCUUAGUACAUGAUAAACAGCAAUUGAAAAGCCUUCGAAGUUCGUUUGAAAGUUAGUCUUUCUCUCGAAGUCGUGUGACCAUCAACAUGGAUUCAGUUAGGUGUGCUUAAUUACCUAUAGUACAUAGCAGAUCGUUUUUAAUUUUUGUGUUUCUCGGUUGUAUUUAUUCUUCUUUCCACACGAAUGUGAAAAAAGAAUGAAUACAAACGUGAUGCACAAAAGUAAAAAAAUACAUGCAGAUUAUACAGGAAACAAAAAAAUCCAAAAAACUGUCAAACAUCUCCUCACAAACAUGAAAAGAAAGUACCUCAAGGCGGAUAUCCUCAUUAAUGAAGAUAAACAGUAAAAGAACUACAUUGCCGAACAGACACCACUGCUUGGCUUGGAUUCUUCGAAUUUCUUAUGCUGCAAAGAAGAAGGACUUCAAGCAUUAGAAUCGAUAAUGAUGUCAUCAACGUUUCCACGAGUUCCGAAAAGGAAAAAAAAAUAACCAGCUCUGAAAGCCAAUUUCUUCAGAAAAACCCCAACUGCUUCCCGGAUGGAAGAGAAGUAAGAAUGCCAUCCAGGAUUAAUUGUAUCUGUAUAAAUAUCACCUAUAGAUUCAAAAAUGAAGAGUUUGGUGAAAGUAUUUAUCGAAAGUGUCAGUCAUUAUGUGUUUUCAACGAAAAAAAUCUCCAUAGCUUCAGAAAGAUUAGAAAAGUGAAAGAAAUCAUAUACCGCAUUCUGCCUAUGAACAAACCAUCCGUCUUGGAAGACGCUUUCGGUUUAUUCGAGACAUUUUACCAUAACUUAUAGCAUGCAGAACAGUGGGUCAGAACGCGCGCGGAAACUUCAAUCAACAAUCGAGAGGACACUGGCUUAGAAAUGUGGGAAUGUGCAGCUGUGACUGCCAUGCUGCUGUUCAUCACAGUUACCUAUAGUAAAUGAAAAGACACCACUGCUGGGAUUCUAUCGAGGGAGUUGGAGACUAUACAAACCAUCCAAUCCAUUUACAGAUCACCAGUGAACUUAUUUUGAACAGCAUAUUAAAAAUGUAUUUUCAGGCUUUCCAAAUCAAAGGAAGCGACAAAUUCAAUCCGGCAUUAAUUGUUACCUGUAUCAUCUAUAGAUUCAAAAAUGAAGACAGCAAAUUCUGUGGAGUUUCAUCGCCAGAAUACACCACACAUAUGAUAUAUUCGCCAACAAAGACAAAUUAAUGUAUAGGUAUUCGUUGCAAUUGUACAGUUAACAAACCAUUAACUGGUAGGGAUGUAUUUGUAGAGCAGUGGUUCACACACCAACUAAAGAUUUGUUGAUGAAUUUUUGAUUUUUUCUGUGCCUUUCACUGUCUCUCUGAAAUUAGAUAAUACCAAAAAAAAAUGAUAAGUUCAAUUAUAAAUUUUCACAAAUAUAAUACUCUUUCUGGGUUGAUGACAACAUCCAGAAACAGACUGCGAAAGCUAUUUUUGGACGCUGUCAUUGAUCCAGGUUAGGGCAUAUUAUUUUCAUGAAAAUGAACCCAGCUUGCAACACUAUUUUUGUCAUUAAUUCCAUAAAAAUAAAGCUAAUAGUUUUUUUAAAUAAUGAACUUGGCAAAUUAUUUCAUACCUUCCAACUCCAAAUACCAACUCACAACAACACAUAUCAUCCACAAUACAGUGAAAUAUACACAAAAUGCUCAAAUGAGCCAAAAAAACCCUAGCUAUAAAAUGUGCUAUACACUGUGAAGAACUUAUCUGUCCAUGUAUAAUCUUCCAAAGUUGCAAAAUGAAGCUCAAAAUACCUACUCAUUCUCCAAAAAUACUCCAGAAAAAAAUUUGAAAUUGAAUCAAAAAAAAAAAAAUCCAAAAACCAUCAGUCAAAUGAUUUAUGGCAAAAUGAGUGGGACACAGUAUACCAAAACAACAAACUCUAUAUCAUAAAACCUCAGCUCGGUGAAUAAUUAUCUCCCAAGCAGCACAAUCGAAGCAUCAUCGAAAUUGGAAAUUGACAAAAAAACUGAAUUCGAUCAAUUAUAGAGAAACUCGAUAAGUAGGUAGUAGGUACAUCAUCAUAUGUAAUAUUGACAAUCUAUCAUUAAACAUGUUAUAUUGACAAAAUCCCGAGAUAUCGAUCGAGAAAUAAUAGAUUUAGUUGGGACCUUUUUCUUCAGUUAAUUGAAUUUGAUUUUUAGUCAAAAACUGAUCGAUGUCAUUUCACAUCAAAGUGUCAAUCUUUUACUAUUCAUUACUAAACAAAAUUAUAAAUUGAAAAUUUGAAUUUUUAUCAAAAAUAAUAAUAUCAAAGAUGAUCUCUGCUCUGUUUGAGCUGAGAGCAGCAUCCACACAGAGACUGUUCAUGAGAGGUACGGAUGGAUUGUCUGUAUUAAUUCAAAAUUGAGCAGUGAAAUCCUCAAGAUGUACCAGAGUAAGUCAGAACGAGUUUUUCAUAAUUUCAACUUUGACCAGUCAUUACUCUCCUACUAAUGAACCAAUAUGGAUCAAAUUUAUUAUGUAGGUUCCCAUAAGGGUUCUCUUUACCUACGGUAAGAAUUUGAGCGCAAUUGUCACAGUAGCUUUCGCUCAGUGGAAUAAAAAUUGCAUUUGAACAAAAUUGUAGAAAAUUUAAUUCUCUAUUGGAUCAUCUAUCAUCAGAUAAACCAGAGAUCACAACCCAUGCCUAGAAUUUUCGAGAAAAUAAAUAACUAAUAGUCAAUGUUUGUGAACCAAUUAUAGGCACUUUAAAUUAAUUUCUUGUUCAAAAUAAUCAUCCUAGAUAAGCAGUCGACUAGAACUUCGAAAUCAAAUACACCUUAUCGACUUCACAUUCCAUCUAAGUAAGUAUGUACAUGAUAAAUGACGAUCGAAAUGCCUUCGGAAUUCGCUUGAAAGCUGUUCUCGUCUUUCUCUCGAAAUCGUGUGACCAUCAUCAUGGUUUCAGUUACUUAGGUGUGCUUAGUUACCUAUAGUUGCAGAUCGUUUUUAAUUUUGUGUUUCUCGGUUGUAUUUAUUCUUCUUUCCACACGAAUGUGCAAAAAGAAUGAAUACAACUGCGAUGCACAAAAGUAAAAAAAAUUACAUGCAGAUAAUAAAGGAAACAUGAACAAAAAAAUCCAAAAAUCGCCUAGCAUCGCCUCGCAAACAUGAAAAGAAAGUACCUCAAGGCGGAUGUACUAAACCUGAAUAAUAAAAUCAACAGUAGAACUAUAAUCUCAAAAGACAUCACUGCUUGGCUUGGAUUAUUCGAAUUUCUCAUAUGCUUCAAAGGACUUCAAGCAUUAGAAUCAAUAAUCGUCUGGUAAUGGUUUUUACCUCAACUACAGUUCCCAAAUGGAAAGAAAAAACAAAUUAACCAGCCCUGAAAGGCGAUUCCUCUCGAGAAAACUCAACUCUUUCCGGAUCCUAGAGAACGAAAAAUUCCAUCCAAGAAUACUUGUAUCAUCUAUAAAUUCAAAAAUACAGUGACAACAAAUUCUGUGGAGUUUCAUCGCCAGAAUACAGCACACAUAGGAUAUUAUAUUCGUCAACGGAAAAAAAAACUAAUUUAGUAAUUGUACGCUAGACAGGCCAUUAACAGGUAUGGUAUGUAUUUAUGGAGCAGUGGUUCACACACCAACUAAAGAUUUGUUGAUGCAUUUUUGAUUUUUUUCUGUGCCUUUCACUGUCUCUCUGAACUGGAUAAUACUAAAGUUAAAUGAUAAGUUCAAUUAUAAAUUUUCACAAAUAUAAUACUCUUUCUGGGUUGAUAACAACAUCCAGAAACAGACCGCGAAAGCUAUUUUUGGACGCUGUUAUUGAUCCAGGUUAGGGCAUAUUAUAUCCAUGAAAAUGAAUCCAGCUUGCAACUAUUUUUGUCAAUAAUUCCAUAAAAAUAAAUGUAAUAUUUUUUUAAAAUAA
Molecule: long non-coding RNA, 3912 nt
Organism: Planococcus citri (citrus mealybug)
Lineage: Eukaryota; Metazoa; Arthropoda; Insecta; Hemiptera; Pseudococcidae
Exons: 5
Source: RefSeq, a predicted model, not a curated record